AAUGAUUUAUUUAAUGGCCGCGGUAUUUUAACCGUGCAAAGGUAGCAUAAUCAUUAGCCUAUUAAUUGUAGGCUUGUAUGAAUGGUUGGACGAAAUAUUUACUGUCUCAUUUUGUUAAUUAUAAUUUAAUUUUUUAGUUAAAAAGCUUAAAUUUUAUUAUAGGACGAGAAGACCCUAUAGAUCUUUAUAUUUUUAUAAAUUAUUUAAUUUUGUUGUUUUUUUGUUUGAUUUAUUUUAAUGUUUUGUUGGGGUGACAUGGAGAUAAUUAUAACUCUUUAUUUUUUUAUUCAUUGAUUUAUGUUUAUUUGACCUUUUAUUAUUGUUAUAAGAUUUAGAUACCUUAGGGAUAACAGCGUUAUUUUUCUUGAGAGUUCAUAUCGACAGGGAAGAUUGCGACCUCGAUGUUGGAUUAAGAUUAUUGUCAGGUGUAGUGGCUUGAUUAUUAGGUCUGUUCGACCUUUAAAUUCUUACAUGAUCUGAGUU
This 483-nucleotide ribosomal RNA is filed under the name Eubulides igorrote. RNAcentral's name for it is "partial 16S ribosomal RNA". It matches the Rfam family "Bacterial large subunit ribosomal RNA", at positions 1914 to 2611 of the family's 2925-position model. The record is from RNAcentral. Lineage: Eukaryota; Metazoa; Arthropoda; Insecta; Phasmatodea; Heteropterygidae.